CCUACGGGGGGCUGCAGUGGGGAAUAUUGGACAAUGGGGGCAACCCUGAUCCAGCCAUGCCGCGUGUGUGAAGAAGGCCCUCGGGUUGUAAAGCACUUUCAGUGAGGAAGAACGCCUGGUGGUGAAUACCCAUCAGGAAAGACAUCACUCACAGAAGAAGCACCGGCUAACUCCGUGCCAGCAGCCGCGGUAAUACGGAGGGUGCGAGCGUUAAUCGGAAUUACUGGGCGUAAAGCGCGCGUAGGUGGCUUGAUAAGCCGGUUGUGAAAGCCCCGGGCUCAACCUGGGAACGGCAUCCGGAACUGUCAAGCUAGAGUGCAGGAGAGGAAGGUAGAAUUCCCGGUGUAGCGGUGAAAUGCGUAGAGAUCGGGAGGAAUACCAGUGGCGAAGGCGGCCUUCUGGACUGACACUGACACUGAGGUGCGAAAGCGUGGGUAGCAAACAGGAUUAGAUACCCGUGUAGUC
Molecule: ribosomal RNA, 465 nt
Filed under: Vreelandella stevensii
Lineage: Bacteria; Pseudomonadati; Pseudomonadota; Gammaproteobacteria; Oceanospirillales; Halomonadaceae
Description: partial 16S ribosomal RNA
Rfam family: Bacterial small subunit ribosomal RNA
Source: RNAcentral